UGUUUGUUCAUUAAAAUGUAUUAAAGUUCAUGUUCAAAAGCAAGAAUGGUCUGUGAUUCUUUUUAUUUCAGAUGUAUUAGCAUGUUUCAGGUCUUUCAUCACACAGAUUAAGACUUCUAAUGUAUUCCAAACCAUGCACCUGUCAUUCCACAUGGGAAAGUAAAUUCAUCACAUUUAACCACUGUUUCAGAAAUCUGAUGCAAUUCACUGAACUCUUCGGUCACCAGUGUCAUCUGCCUUACAAAACAUUCCAGUGUUGUGUUACUUUAAGCUAUGCUACAUAUUUAGAUUAAAGUUGAAAUUGUUAGUUAAAAUUCUCUCAUGUUUCCAAAUCAACAAAUAACAACAUCUAUUACACAAAGUGUGUUUAUUUUACUAAUGAUCAAAGUGGAUGUUUCAUGAAAUCAAAGUGUAAUCUUUCCUUGAGUGCUCUAUCCAAGGCAUCUGCGGUAUGGCUAAUGGAGGACUUGAGAGCAGAUAUGUGUUGAAGAAGAAUAAAUACAUGUUCAUGGAGCAUACUUGUUAUUUAUAGAGGUGACUUACCUGUUAACUUUUAUCAUUCCAUUGGUAGUUUCCUCAUAUAUGACACAGGUGUUCCAAAGAAAAUAUUGUUGAUACUAAAUCAAAUCCAGAACCACAAUAUGCAAAUGAGAUGAAGUACUGUAAUAGCUAAUUAAUGGACAAAAAAUCCAAAAGCAUGCACCUUCAUACUAAAUGCAUUCCGAAACCAGAAUACGUCCACCACUAUUGUGAUUGGCUUUGCGCUAGCCAAUGACAGUGUUCUAUGAUACAAUAUAAAAACAUGUUUCAGGAAGCUUCUGUUCAUUCAUGACUGGGCUACAACUGGAAGUUGGACGAGUGCAGUCAAGUGAGUCCAUUAAAAUGAUAUAAAUCUCUAAGGCUUCCAAGUACAUCACUCUCAUAAGCCUUCCAAUAUCAGCAUACAAAGUGAUAAUUCCUUCCAAGUUAAGGGGUGGGUUUCUCUAAAUCUUCCAAAUAGUGCAUAUGUUUAGUCCAGUCUUUCAAGGGAUGGAAGUCCUGCUUUUCUAUAGUAUGAUAGUGGUUAACACUGUUUCAGAAAUCUACUGCUAUUUACUGAACUCUUUGGUCACCAAUGUCAUCUGCCUUACAAAACAUUCCAAUGUUGUGUUACUUAAAGCUAUGCUACAUAUUUAGAUUAAAGUUGAAAUUGUUAGUUAAAAUUCUCCCAUUUUUCCAAAUCAACAAAAAAACAACAUCUAUUACACAAAGUGUGUUUAUUUUACUAAUGAUCAAAGUGGAUGUUUCAUGAGAUCAAAUUGUGAUCUUGCCAUGAGUUCUCUAUCCAAGGUAUUUGCGGUAUGGCUAUUGGAGGACUUGAGAGCUGAUGUGUGUUGAAGAAGAAUAAAUACAUGUUCAUGGAGCAUACUUGUUACUUAUAGAGGUGACUUACCUGUUAACUUUUAUCAUUCCAUUGAUAGUUUCCUCAUAUAUGACACAGAUGUUCCAAAGAAAAUAUUGUUGAUACUAAACGAAAUCCAGAACCACAAUAUGCAAAUGAGAUGAAGUACUGUAAUAAUUAAUGGACAAAAAAUCCAAAAGCAUGCACCUUCAUGCUAAAUGCAUUCCGAAACCAGAAUAUGCCCACCACUAUUGUGAUUGGCUCUGCACUAGCCAAUGACAGUGUUCUAUGAUACAAUAUAAAAACAUGUUUCAGGAAGCUUCUGUUCAUUCACGACUGGCUACUACUGGAAGUUGGAGGAGUGCAGUCAAGUGAGUCCAUAAAUGUGAUAUAAAUCCCUAAGGCUUCCAAGUACAUCAUUCUCAUAAGCCUUCCAAUAUCAGCAUACAAAGUGAUAAUUCCUUCCAAGUUAAGGGGUCCGUUUCUCUAAAUCUUCCAAAUAGUGCAUACAUAUAGUCUAAUCUUUCAAGGGAUGGAUGUCCUGCUUUUCUAAGUGUGAUGUCUGGUCAUGUAUGGAAAUGAACAGUACUUGUAAUUACUCUGUGUAUUUACAUUUCCAUAGUUUGUCUUUUCUCUUUGUAUUCUGAGAUACUAUUUGGAUGGAUUGCCCCAUGAACAGUGCUUACUGUACACUACCAAAUGUAAAUACACUGCUCUGUGUAUGUAAAAUUUCUUUUCGAGGCUGACUUUGAGACAGAGGGAAGAACAUUUCAGACUCGUAUGUAAGCAAGGUAGAGACAUCUGUGAGCCCAUAAUAUUGUAAAUCAACACAAACCCACACAAUUAGUGGACAAUUCCUAAUAUUUGCAACAUAAUAUUGUAUUUCCUGUUUUAAUUUCUCCUCUCACCUUUAUUUGUAUUGACAGGAACCCCUUUUGGACCAGAACAAAGACUGACAGCACAGUAAAUGACUGACCAAAAUUGUUACUAAUGUGUGGAAUUUCAGCGAUUGCUUUGACACACGGUUCAUGGUAUGACUGUUGUCCCUUUGCUUUCAUUUAGAGUCUGCAACACGAAAGGACAAUGAUGGCAACAAAUAGAGGGGACCGUGUCCUUUUCCAGAUGGUGGCUCUGGAAAAUCUUGAACACCACAGUUUUCCUCUUACUCACGAAGAGGCCCCACGACCCUACCCAUUUCAGCAAGGUGUGGUGCAUCAAGCACAAGCACCUGUUGUGUUAGAGAGAACAGUAAGUGGUGGCAGCACAACAUGGUCAUCACAACAGAACCUAAAUGACAGUGAGUGACAGAUCUCCUUUUCCUCAUUUGUAGAGCUGCUCCAGACUGGACCACUGGGAUGUUGUCAUUUUGAGUGCUGUUGUCAUAAGCUUUGCGCUGUUGGUUUUUGCGAUAGCCUACCUCAUAAUAUCACAGCGUAAAUAAGAAGAUUGUAUGGAAACAAACUUACCUGUUUGUUCAUUAAAAUGUAUUAAAGUUCAUUUUCAAAAGUA
This is a long non-coding RNA of Scatophagus argus, 2890 nucleotides long. RefSeq lists it as uncharacterized. Lineage: Eukaryota; Metazoa; Chordata; Actinopteri; Scatophagidae. The transcript has 2 exons. The record is from RefSeq and is a predicted model, not a curated record.